Molecule: long non-coding RNA, 1597 nt
Organism: Sardina pilchardus (European sardine)
Lineage: Eukaryota; Metazoa; Chordata; Actinopteri; Clupeiformes; Clupeidae
Exons: 4
Source: RefSeq, a predicted model, not a curated record
UCAUCGGUUUUAAAUGAGGAGAGGAUGUUCAUUCUUUCACCAUGGCAAAGCUCCUCUCUGAGCUUCAUGUCCUUGGCUGAAUCAUGUGCAGAACCAUUUAGGCUUGCAACAAGCUGAUGAAGCUCAGAAAGUGUCUCCUUAAUUGGCGUCAUCAGCAGCGGCAUCUUACGGACCUUGAGAGAGCAACCCAAGGACUCCGGCCUCUCCAUGAAAUGAAAACCUGUGUACAGCUUUGCAAAGGGAGCACCCUUUGACUGCACAUUCUUAUCCAGUUGGGCUGACACCAGCCCUGCAGCAGCUACCUCCUGUUGAUAUCGGAGUUUGCUCUCGGUCAAAACUUCCGACACCAGCCCUGAAGCAGCUACCUCCUGUUGAUAUCGGAGUUUACUCUCGGUCAAAACUUCCGACACCAGCCCUGCAGCAGCUAACUCCUGUUGAUAUCGGAGUUUGCUCUCGGUCAAAACUUCCGACACCAGCCCUGCAGCAGCUAACUCCUGUUGAUAUCGGAGUUUGCUCUCUGUCAAAACUUCCGACACCAGCCCUGCUGCAGCUAACUCCUGUUGAUAUCGGAGUUUGCUCUCGGUCAAAACUUCCGACACCAGCCCUGCAGCAGCUACCUCCUGUUGAUAUCGGAGUUUGCUCUCUGUCAAAACUUCCGACACCAGCCCUGCAGCAGCUACCUCCUGUUGAUAUAGGAGUUUACUCGUGGUCAAAACUUCCGACACCAGCCCUGCAGCAGCUAACUCCUCUUGAUAUCGGAGUUUACUCUUGUACACAGCAGAAGCUGCCUCCACAUGGAUGUUGGUGGCAAGUGUGGAUGCACUAGGCUUCAGCUGUUGCAAGAUCUCUAGUGGCAGGUCUAGUCUUGACUGGCUAGUGCCCUCCUCAUUGGUGAACAAUGAAAGUCAGUUAUUUUACACUGGCCCCAGUGAUCAGUACAGGAGGCUGGUUGUAGCCUACUUUCUGAGGAGCAGAGGCGGGCUGUCCUAGAGGAGUGCCACAACAACCCUGGCACUGGGAACCACGGGGGUGUGAGGGCAACCAUCGACAGGGUUGUUGCGGGAUACUACUGGGGCGGUAUCAAGGCAGAUGUGGCAGAUUGGGUCAAAAGCUGUCACAGAUGCCAAAAAAAUGACCCCUUGAAGACCGUGGCCCCUGCCCUUCACCCUAUUAAGGUGACAGAGCCAUGGGAGGUUGUCGGAAUGGACCUUAUUGGUCCACUGACAACAACUGAGAAAGAAAAUCAGUAUGUCCUCACAGUGACAGACCUUUUUACAAAGUGGGUCAUCACCGAGCCUCUGAAGUCUGGCUCCAGUGUUGAGGUGCACUGAAGCACUUGUGCCAAAGCUGUACACUUUCGGUAUGGUCCGAAAAAUUAUAACAGACAGGGGUCGUGCAUUUGUCAACGAGGUAUGUGUGAUUAUCCUCACCCUUCACUACUACAGGUCAUAUGACAAUCAAAAUUCACACUGUUUUAAACGGUCAUUUGUCAACAAGACCAAUAAGUAUUGAAACUAACCAUAUGUGUCUGAAUUAUGUACACAUGAAUGCACACAUAUUUGCAGCGCUAAAUAUCAAGCAUGCCAUCACGAGUGCU